GGGCCCGCACAAGCGGUGGAGCAUGUGGUUUAAUUCGAUGCAACGCGAAGAACCUUACCUACUCUUGACAUCCUGCGAAUUUGGUAGAGAUACCUUAGUGCCUUCGGGAACGCAGAGACAGGUGCUGCAUGGCUGUCGUCAGCUCGUGUUGUGAAAUGUUGGGUUAAGUCCCGUAACGAGCGCAACCCUUGUCCUUAUUUGCCAGCGCGUAAUGGCGGGAACUCUAAGGAGACUGCCGGUGACAAACCGGAGGAAGGUGGGGACGACGUCAAGUCAUCAUGGCCCUUACGAGUAGGGCUACACACGUGCUACAAUGGUCGGUACAAAGGGUUGCCAACUCGCGAGAGUGAGCCAAUCCCGAAAGCCGAUCUCAGUCCGGAUCGGAGUCUGCAACUCGACUCCGUGAAGUCGGAAUCGCUAGUAAUCGUGGAU
RNAcentral lists this ribosomal RNA (432 nucleotides) under uncultured bacterium. Its description in RNAcentral is "bacterial SSU rRNA". It matches the Rfam family "Bacterial small subunit ribosomal RNA", at positions 917 to 1349 of the family's 1533-position model. The record is from RNAcentral.